AUUGAACGCUGGCGGCAGGCCUAACACAUGCAAGUCGAGCGGAUGAAGGUAGCUUGCUAUCUGAUUCAGCGGCGGACGGGUGAGUAAUGCCUAGGAAUCUGCCUGGUAGUGGGGGACAACGUUUCGAAAGGAACGCUAAUACCGCAUACGUCCUACGGGAGAAAGUGGGGGAUCUUCGGACCUCACGCUAUCAGAUGAGCCUAGGUACGAUUAGCUAGUUGGUGAGGUAAAGGCUCACCAAGGCGACGAUCGUUAACUGGUCUGAGAGGAUGAUCAGUCACACUGGAACUGAGACACGGUCCAGACUCCUACGGGAGGCAGCAGUGGGGAAUAUUGGACAAUGGGCGAAAGCCUGAUCCAGCCAUGCCGCGUGUGUGAAGAAGGUCUUCGGAUUGUAAAGCACUUUAAGUUGGGAGGAAGGGCAGUAAGUUAUACCUUGCUGUUUGACGUUACCAACAGAAUAAGCACCGGGCUAACUUCGUGCCA
This 486-nucleotide ribosomal RNA is filed under the name uncultured bacterium. Its description in RNAcentral is "bacterial SSU rRNA". It matches the Rfam family "Bacterial small subunit ribosomal RNA", at positions 30 to 510 of the family's 1533-position model. The record is from RNAcentral.